GCUUGCUUUUCAAAGUUAGUGGCGGACGGGUGAGUAACGCGUGGGUAACCUGCCUCAUACAGGGGAAUAGCAGCUGGAAACGGCUGAUAAAACCGCAUAAGCGCACAGUGCCGCAUGGCACAGUGUGAAAAACUCCGGUGGUAUGAGAUGGACCCGCGUCUGAUUAGCUUGUUGGCGGGGUAACGGCCCACCAAGGCGACGAUCAGUAGCCGGCCUGAGAGGGUGAUCGGCCACAUUGGGACUGAGACACGGCCCAAACUCCUACGGGAGGCAGCAGUGGGGAAUAUUGCACAAUGGGGGAAACCCUGAUGCAGCGACGCCGCGUGAAGGAAGAAGUAUCUCGGUAUGUAAACUUCUAUCAGCAGGGAAGAUAAUGACGGUACCUGACUAAGAAGCCCCGGCUAACUACGUGCCAGCGGCCGCGGUAAUACGUAGGGGGCAAGCGUUAUCCGGAUUUACUGGGUGUAAAGGGAGCGUAGGCGGCGGAGCAAGUCAGAAGUGAAAGCCCGGGGCUCAACCCCGGGACGGCUUUUGAAACUGCCCUGCUUGAUUUCAGGAGAGGUAAGCGGAAUUCCUAGUGUAGCGGUGAAAUGCGUAGAUAUUAGGAGGAAUACCAGUGGCGAAGGCGGCUUACUGGACUGACAAUGACGCUGAGGCUCGAAAGCGUGGGGAGCAAACAGG
RNAcentral lists this ribosomal RNA (681 nucleotides) under uncultured Lachnospiraceae bacterium. RNAcentral's name for it is "bacterial SSU rRNA". It matches the Rfam family "Bacterial small subunit ribosomal RNA", at positions 78 to 776 of the family's 1533-position model. The record is from RNAcentral. Lineage: Bacteria; Bacillati; Bacillota; Clostridia; Lachnospirales; Lachnospiraceae.